Molecule: non-coding RNA, 179 nt
Filed under: Corynebacterium kutscheri
Lineage: Bacteria; Bacillati; Actinomycetota; Actinomycetes; Mycobacteriales; Corynebacteriaceae
Source: RNAcentral
CUAUUGUUCAGUUGUUACGGUUUUAAGUGGGAAUGCCAGUGAAAAUCCGGCAGCGGCCCUCGCCACUGUAUUUUUAGUCUUUCAUAUACCACUGUCGAUAUUCGAUAGGAAGGGAAAGGCACUUGGGGUAUCCCUCAAGGUAGAAGCCAGGAAACCCUUGCCGCAACGGACAUAUUCAU